CUCGUAGGCGGUUCGUCGCGUCCGGUGUGAAAGUCCAUCGCUUAACGGUGGAUCCGCGCCGGGUACGGGCGGGCUUGAGUGCGGUAGGGGAGACUGGAAUUCCCGGUGUAACGGUGGAAUGUGUAGAUAUCGGGAAGAACACCAAUGGCGAAGGCAGGUCUCUGGGCCGUCACUGACGCUGAGAAGCGAAAGCGUGGGGAGCGAACA
Molecule: ribosomal RNA, 207 nt
Filed under: uncultured bacterium
Lineage: Bacteria
Description: partial 16S ribosomal RNA
Rfam family: Bacterial small subunit ribosomal RNA
Source: RNAcentral